GACUAGUUGCCAGCAUUUAGUUGGGCACUCUAGUAAGACUGCCGGUGACAAACCGGAGGAAGGUGGGGAUGACGUCAAAUCAUCAUGCCCCUUAUGACCUGGGCUACACACGUGCUACAAUGGAUGGUACAACGAGUUGCGAGACCGCGAGGUCAAGCUAAUCUCUUAAAGCCAUUCUCAGUUCGGACUGUAGGCUGCAACUCGCCUACACGAAGUCGGAAUCGCUAGUAAUCGCGGAUCAGCACGCCGCGGUGAAUACGUUCCCGGGCCUUGUACACACCGCCCGUCACACCAUGAGAGUUUGUAACACCCGAAGCCGGUGGCGUAACCCUUUUAGGGAGCGAGCCGUCUAAGGUGGGACAAAUGAUUAGGGUGAAGUCGUAACAAGGUAGCCGUAGGAGAACCUGCGGCUGGAUCACCUCCUUUCU
This 428-nucleotide ribosomal RNA is filed under the name Lacticaseibacillus paracasei. RNAcentral describes it as "bacterial SSU rRNA". It matches the Rfam family "Bacterial small subunit ribosomal RNA", at positions 1109 to 1533 of the family's 1533-position model. Lineage: Bacteria; Bacillati; Bacillota; Bacilli; Lactobacillales; Lactobacillaceae. The record is from RNAcentral.